RNAcentral lists this ribosomal RNA (132 nucleotides) under Lodderomyces parapsilosis. RNAcentral's name for it is "Candida parapsilosis partial 5.8S ribosomal RNA". It matches the Rfam family "5.8S ribosomal RNA", at positions 25 to 154 of the family's 154-position model. Rfam says of the family: 5.8S ribosomal RNA (5.8S rRNA) is a component of the large subunit of the eukaryotic ribosome. It is transcribed by RNA polymerase I as part of the 45S precursor that also contains 18S and 28S rRNA. Lineage: Eukaryota; Fungi; Ascomycota; Pichiomycetes; Serinales; Debaryomycetaceae. The record is from RNAcentral.
UUCUCGCAUCGAUGAAGAAUGGAGCGAAAUGCGAUAAGAAAUAUGAAUUACAGAUAUUCGUGAAUCAUCGAAUCAUUGAACGCACAUUGCGCCCUUUGUUAUUCCAAAGGGCAUGCCUGUUUAAGCGGGAUU